Molecule: ribosomal RNA, 478 nt
Filed under: uncultured bacterium
Lineage: Bacteria
Description: partial 16S ribosomal RNA
Rfam family: Bacterial small subunit ribosomal RNA
Source: RNAcentral
GACGAACGCUGGCGGCAUGCCUAACACAUGCAAGUCGAGCGAGUUAAUCCCUUCGGGGUGAAGCUAGCGGCGGACGGGUGAGUAACACGUGGGCAACCUGCCUCAUAGAGGGGAAUAGCCUUCCGAAAGGAAGAUUAAUACCGCAUAAGAUUGUAGCUUCGCAUGAAGCAGCAAUUAAAGGGGCAAUCCGCUAUGAGAUGGGCCCGCGGCGCAUUAGCUAGUUGGUGAGGUAACGGCUCACCAAGGCGACGAUGCGUAGCCGACCUGAGAGGGUGAUCGGCCACAUUGGGACUGAGACACGGCCCAGACUCCUACGGGAGGCAGCAGUGGGGAAUAUUGCACAAUGGGGGAAACCCUGAUGCGGCAAUGCCGCGUGAGUGAUGACGGCCUUCGGGUUGUAAAGCUCUGUCUUCGGGGACGAUAAUGACGGUACCCGAGGAGGAAGCCACGGCUAACUACGUGCCAGCCGCCGCGGUAA